UACGGAGGAUGCAAGCGUUAUCCGGAAUGAUUGGGCGUAAAGCGUCCGCAGGUGGCUGUGUAAGUCUGCUGUCAAAGAAUGAGGCUUAACCUCAUCAAGGCAGUGGAAACUACACAGCUAGAGUACGGUCGGGGUAGAAGGAAUUCCUGGUGUAGCGGUGAAAUGCGUAGAGAUCAGGAAGAACACCGGUGGCGAAAGCGUUCUGCUAGACCUGUACUGACACUGAGGGACGAAAGCUAGGGGAGCGAAUGGG
RNAcentral lists this ribosomal RNA (253 nucleotides) under uncultured bacterium. RNAcentral describes it as "partial 16S ribosomal RNA". It matches the Rfam family "Bacterial small subunit ribosomal RNA", at positions 524 to 776 of the family's 1533-position model. The record is from RNAcentral.